AUGAGUUAAGUAUAAACCCCUUUACAAGUAACAAUUGGAGGGCAAGUCUGGUGCCAGCAGCCGCGGUAAUUCCAGCUCCAAUAGCGUAUAUUAAAGUUGUUGCAGUUAAAAAGCUCGUAGUUGGAUUUCUGUUAAUAAUUUAUAUUAAUAUACAUUUUUUUUGUAUUUAAUAUGAUAUUAACAUAAUUCAAAUUACUAAUUUUAGUAUAUGAAAUUUUACUUUGAGAAAAUUAGAGUGCUUAAAGCAGGCAAUUGCCUUGUAUACUACAGCAUGGAAUAAUAAUAAAAGAUUUUUAUCUUUUUUUUUUAUUGGCUCUAAGAUAAAAAUAAUGAUUAAUAGGGACAGUUGGGGGCAUUUGUAUUUAACAGUUAGAGGUGAAAUUCUUAGAUUUGUUAAAGACAAACUAAUGCGAAAGCAUUUGCCAAGGAUGUUUUCAUUAAUCAAGAACGAAAGUUAGGGGAUCGAAGACGAUCAGAUACCGUCGUAGU
This 489-nucleotide ribosomal RNA is filed under the name Cryptosporidium sp. RNAcentral's name for it is "partial small subunit ribosomal RNA". It matches the Rfam family "Eukaryotic small subunit ribosomal RNA", at positions 514 to 1024 of the family's 1831-position model. The record is from RNAcentral. Lineage: Eukaryota; Apicomplexa; Conoidasida; Eucoccidiorida; Cryptosporidiidae.